GCCUGGGUGGCUUAGUCAGUUAAGCAUCCGACUUCGGUUCAGAUCAUGGUCUCACAGUUUGUAGGUUCAAGCCCCAUAUCAGGCU
This 85-nucleotide transfer RNA is filed under the name Felis catus (domestic cat). It matches the Rfam family "tRNA". Rfam says of the family: Transfer RNA (tRNA) molecules are approximately 80 nucleotides in length. Lineage: Eukaryota; Metazoa; Chordata; Mammalia; Carnivora; Felidae. RNAcentral also lists the same sequence under 1 other name. The record is from Rfam by way of RNAcentral.